AAGCUGGGAAUGGGUGACAGGGGAUGGAUCACUAGAUGAUUACCUGUUCUGUUCAUUCCCUCUGAGGCACCUGGCAUUGGCCACUGUCGGAAGACAGGAUAAUGGGCUAGAUGGACCUGUGGUCUGGUCCAGUAUGGCCGGUCUUAUGUUUUUAUGAUAAAUGUUUU
Long non-coding RNA from Dermochelys coriacea (leatherback sea turtle), 167 nucleotides. RefSeq lists it as uncharacterized. The transcript has 3 exons. Lineage: Eukaryota; Metazoa; Chordata; Testudines; Dermochelyidae. The record is from RefSeq and is a predicted model, not a curated record.